AGUGAACGCUGGCGGUAGGCCUAACACAUGCAAGUCGAACGGCAGCACAGUAAGAGCUUGCUCUUACGGGUGGCGAGUGGCGGACGGGUGAGGAAUACAUCGGAAUCUACUUUUUCGUGGGGGAUAACGUAGGGAAACUUACGCUAAUACCGCAUACGACCUACGGGUGAAAGCAGGGGAUCUUCGGACCUUGCGCGAUUGAAUGAGCCGAUGUCGGAUUAGCUAGUUGGCGGGGUAAAGGCCCACCAAGGCGACGAUCCGUAGCUGGUCUGAGAGGAUGAUCAGCCACACUGGAACGGAGACACGGUCCAGACUCCUACGGGAGGCAGCAGUGGGGAAUAUUGGACAAUGGGCGCAAGCCUGAUCCAGCCAUACCGCGUGGGUGAAGAAGGCCUUCGGGUUGUAAAGCCCUUUUGUUGGGAAAGAAAAGCAGCAGGUUAAUACCCCGCUGCUCUGACGGUACCCAAAGAAUAAGCACCGGCUAACUUCGUG
Molecule: ribosomal RNA, 492 nt
Filed under: uncultured bacterium
Lineage: Bacteria
Description: partial 16S ribosomal RNA
Rfam family: Bacterial small subunit ribosomal RNA
Source: RNAcentral